Long non-coding RNA from Phacochoerus africanus (Common warthog), 1929 nucleotides. RefSeq lists it as uncharacterized. The record is from RefSeq and is a predicted model, not a curated record. The transcript has 3 exons. Lineage: Eukaryota; Metazoa; Chordata; Mammalia; Artiodactyla; Suidae.
GGGAAGGAGGGGGUGUCCUCCCUCGCCAGCUCUCACUUGGAAGUGACACUGGUCUUCGUGUUUCCAUCUCAUUAACUCCUCAAAUGUCUUUUGUCAGCAAAUAAUUUAUUAUCUCCAGUGAUCUCAAAUACAUGGUUUUAGAAGCCUCAACGAAUGCUCAGUGGUUCUGUGGUGUCCCGAGCCCUUUGGAGGCAUGCAUCCUCUAUUUCCUUGUGGACACCUGUGAGGAAGCCAGGCUGGCUGGGCAGCGCCCCUGGCAUGCUGCUCCUGGCACCUUGCUCACUGCACUGAGCCCUCCCUGUAUUCUGAGGCGGGGCUCCCAGAGCUGGGUGGACAUCCAGUCCAGAGAGGAGUUGUGCUUGUUUUCUGGUCCUCUCACCCUUCCGCUGGGCUUCAGGACCCACAGAGGACAAAGGCUGACCCAGGUGAGCGCCCAGAGAGACUCGGGGGUCCCGCGAGUGGGCCUGGGUGGGAGUGUCUGGCCACCCCCCUCCCAGCUCUGUUCCUGCAGAGCCUCAGUGCCUCGUGUCACCCUAUUCUGUUCUCCAAAAUGAUGCUGAGCCCUUGCGGUCGGGCCAGGGGAGGGAGGAGAGACGCCGGCUGUUUCGGGUGAGCUGGUGAGGCAGCGCGCCCCCCAGCUCCUUGCCGCCAGCGUGGGGCGUCUGCACAGCUGCAGGCACCUGGGGCCAGUUCUUCCCCUCCUUCCCUCUCCGGCCCGCCCUCCUGCUCUCCAGUUUCUGUCUAACCCCGCCAGGACCCAUUGACACUUCUUUCAGUGGACAUGGGCUCCUGCAGGUCGUGGUGCCACUGGAGACAGGGCCCCGGGUCCCACUGGGAAGACUGGGGGUCACUCGAUGCCCCACAGAAGGAGGCCUUCGGGGACCUGCCCAUCUGGGUAAGGAUGUGGGUUCCAGGCAGGCUUGGCCUGACGACCGGAUGCCACGGGGCUCUGUUAGAGGAAGCCUUAUCUUAGCCUGCCUUCCUUCUGCAGGAGUUGGGGCGGGGGCGGGGGGGUAGCCCAGGAGAUUGGUCUGGGGCUAAACUGGGCCUGAAGCUUUUGCUGGGGAAUGCAGAUGCCCUCACGUCGCCCAUCUGCCAUCACACACACCUGUGCACACCUGGCUGAGGUCUGCCCAGACCCAACCUCAGGUCACACACACAGCUCUGGUCCUGCUGGCUGGACCUCUUGCAUCUGAGCAGGUAACUUCUCCCCCAACUCUUGGGCCAUCUUGGGGACCUGCAGCUCUGGGUUUUUCUGGGAGUGGGAGCACCUGCCAGGGCUGCUGGGCAUCUCCUCGCAUUUGCCUUCUGCCCCCGUCAGCGCAGAACCACAGCCAGAGGAGAGGCUGGCUGUGAACGCCACCUGGGUGCAUCUUGCUCAGGGAAGGGAAGGGUCAGUGGACCGUUCGUGGGGGCUGCGUGGCCCAUCUCCACCCAGGGGUCCAUUGAGGGUCCAGCUGCCCUGCGAGGGAGACCUGGCUGAACGUUUUCAAAAGCUGAUACCCCUGCGCCUGGGUUGCAGCUUCCUGCUCUUGUCACCGCUCCCAGCCACGGCCAGGAGGACCUCAGCAGGAACGAGGAGGUGCUGAUGGUCCCCAGUCAAAGACAACUUCGGAUUUUGCUGCUGCGUCAGAAGAGGGGGGUGUCCGACAUGCUGACGAGGCCCGAGGCAGCAGCGAGCUGGGGGAAGCCCAUGACUUCGGCAGAGCCAAGGGCAAAGCACGAGAACGUGACUCAGGAACCUCUGCAGAGGAAGAACCAGCAGCCUGCAGAAGAUCUGGAGCCAGGGAUUGAGCCUGCACCACAGCUGCAACCCAAGCCACAGCAGUGAAAACACUGCAUCUUUAACCCUCUGCACCAACAGAGAACUCCAUGUAUCAUUCUUUAUUAGAUUCUACAUAUAAGAGAUACCAUAUAUUUACCUUUCUC